GCGGUGAAUACGUUCUCGGGCCUUGUACACACCGCCCGUCACGUCAUGAAAGCUGACAACACCUGAAGUCGAUGCGCUAACCCCUUAGCUAGUCUUAGGGGAGGUAGUUGCCCAGGGUGGGGUUGGUGAUUGGGACGAAGUCGUAACAAGGUAGUCGUAGCGGAAGCUGCGGCUGGAUCACCUCCUUUCUAGGGAG
RNAcentral lists this ribosomal RNA (196 nucleotides) under Dehalococcoidia bacterium. RNAcentral's name for it is "partial 16S ribosomal RNA". It matches the Rfam family "Bacterial small subunit ribosomal RNA", at positions 1359 to 1533 of the family's 1533-position model. The record is from RNAcentral. Lineage: Bacteria; Bacillati; Chloroflexota; Dehalococcoidia.